AGAGUUUGAUCAUGGCUCAGAUUGAACGCUGGCGGUAGGCCUAACACAUGCAAGUCGAGCGGUAGCACAAGAGAGCUUGCUCUCUGGGUGACGAGCGGCGGACGGGUGAGUAAUGUCUGGGAAACUGCCUGAUGGAGGGGGAUAACUACUGGAAACGGUAGCUAAUACCGCAUAACGUCUUCGGACCAAAGUGGGGGACCUUCGGGCCUCACGCCAUCAGAUGUGCCCAGAUGGGAUUAGCUAGUAGGUGGGGUAAUGGCUCACCUAGGCGACGAUCCCUAGCUGGUCUGAGAGGAUGACCAGCCACACUGGAACUGAGACACGGUCCAGACUCCUACGGGAGGCAGCAGUGGGGAAUAUUGCACAAUGGGCGCAAGCCUGAUGCAGCCAUGCCGCGUGUGUGAAGAAGGCCUUCGGGUUGUAAAGCACUUUCAGCGAGGAGGAAGGGUAGUGUGUUAAUAGCACAUUGCAUUGACGUUACUCGCAGAAGAAGCACCGGCUAACUCCGUGCCAGCAGCCGCGGUAAUACGGAGGGUGCAAGCGUUAAUCGGAAUUACUGGGCGUAAAGCGCACGCAGGCGGUUUGUUAAGUCAGAUGUGAAAUCCCCGCGCUUAACGUGGGAACUGCAUUUGAAACUGGCAAGCUAGAGUCUUGUAGAGGGGGGUAGAAUUCCAGGUGUAGCGGUGAAAUGCGUAGAGAUCUGGAGGAAUACCGGUGGCGAAGGCGGCCCCCUGGACAAAGACUGACGCUCAGGUGCGAAAGCGUGGGGAGCAAACAGGAUUAGAUACCCCGGUAGU
This 797-nucleotide ribosomal RNA is filed under the name uncultured bacterium. RNAcentral's name for it is "bacterial SSU rRNA". It matches the Rfam family "Bacterial small subunit ribosomal RNA", at positions 8 to 794 of the family's 1533-position model. The record is from RNAcentral.